AUACGUUGGACACACUACUAUUUCUAAGGUGCAGCAAUUAACAGCUUCCAGUGAAUCAUGAAGACGGCUCUCUUUCUGAUGCUACUCAUUGGGCUGAGCAUUGCUCUUCCAGUCGAAGAAGAGCACCACCGUGAAGCACGACAUAGCUCUGGAAUUAAUCCAGCAAAAGGUAGCAGUCCUGCCUCUGGUACAUCUUUAGACUUGGCCUCGAUUCUACAGAUGGUGAAAGCCAUAUUAGCAGCACUUGGGCUUUAAUAUGGAAGGACAUGAGGCUUCACAAACUCCUGCAGCAGAACAAACUCUUUUUCCAGCUGGCUAAAAGCAGCCGUCUGCAGUCUUGUUUCUCCUUUCUAGAUUUUCUGUAGAAUUAUUGUUUUCCUUUCAGUGAUUAUGGAAAUGUGCUUACAUGUGCAUGCAGCAUGCAAUGAUCAAUAAACUACUC
Long non-coding RNA from Lepisosteus oculatus (spotted gar), 442 nucleotides. RefSeq lists it as uncharacterized. The record is from RefSeq and is a predicted model, not a curated record. Lineage: Eukaryota; Metazoa; Chordata; Actinopteri; Semionotiformes; Lepisosteidae.